RNAcentral lists this long non-coding RNA (453 nucleotides) under Elaeis guineensis (African oil palm). RNAcentral describes it as "long non-coding RNA (EGUI_LNC012119)". The record is from RNAcentral. Lineage: Eukaryota; Viridiplantae; Streptophyta; Magnoliopsida; Arecales; Arecaceae.
GGUAUGACUUAUUUUUAUUUAACAAAAUUAUUUUAUAUUUGGCCCCCUUAAGUAUUUUGUCCAAAGUCUGCCCCUGGUGCCAGCCAAUCCUCCUCCUGGGUUAGUGGCUUGCAAAUCCACUCGUAGAUGAGUCCUAUGAGGAAGAAGAAGGUGAAAGGGAAGGAGGAGUAGGCUUAUGCUCCCUAUGUCACUCGCUGUCCAAAGGAUGAGGUCGAUGGUGGAGUGAAACUUGCUCGGGACUUCGAUAGAUAGAUCGGAUAACCCAGGGCACUCCUUCUAGGCUAAUAAGUCGUGAUUGGCUACUUUCUUGCAGACUCCUUGAGUUCAUGGGUAGGUCAGCGGAGAAGUGCCUCCUAUUUUCUAUGGCCCUUAAGAAAAUCAAGGAUUUUCAGUGGACAAUAGAAUACCAUACCACCUUUAAUCAGCUUCUAGAGUACCGUGCCUCCACCCCAC